RNAcentral lists this ribosomal RNA (3020 nucleotides) under Dioscorea cayenensis subsp. rotundata (Guinea yam). RNAcentral's name for it is "bacterial LSU rRNA". The stretch from base 2042 to 3009 matches the Rfam family "Bacterial large subunit ribosomal RNA", at positions 2048 to 2912 of the family's 2925-position model. The record is from RNAcentral. Lineage: Eukaryota; Viridiplantae; Streptophyta; Magnoliopsida; Dioscoreales; Dioscoreaceae.
GAAUUUCUAUUUUUAGUAUGGCCUAUAUGAUGGCGAAUUUCAAGCAUAGGGGAAGGGCGCAAAGGUGGGGUAGGUAAAGGUUUCCCAGCUUCAUAUUUCCACAUUUGUAUGAUACAAUGUCGAGAGGGAGGGAAUAUAAAAAGACAUGCCCCUGCUUGAUAAUAUUCACUACCAGUUGGUUCUCGUUUAGAUAGGACAUCAAUAAAAUCUAUGAAGAUUGGAAUCCCCGCCUGUCUUCUUUCCUUCUUUUGUACGCAGAGGACUUGGAUGUCAACCUCGUUCAUGUUCCAUAAAGGAAAGUUAAGUCUCCGCCAUACGGAACAAGAUCUUGAUAAAUGACUUUGACAGUCGACAUGCGUGUCGCUCUUUCCUUUGCUGCCUGCACUUGAUAAAGUUGGUUUGGCUACUCUUUCUAUAACGUUCUUCUUUUGAUCUCUCAUAAAGCAAGUAGGGCACCAAGGUAUGGCUCAUCAAAGCCAACUUGGCCAUCAUGGCUCCAUAUUGCAACAAUCCUACUCACAUUAGCUGCUGACACCACCAUCAAAACUAAAGUAGAUUGUUGAGCUUAUAGCCUUUUAUUUUAUGCUGUGAGAGUAGGGAUCACAUUAGGCAUAUAUAUCUAUGCUGAAUAAAAUAUUCAGGCGACAAUGUUCUAUCCUUUUCUUGUUACAACAGUUGUAAAUGCCUCUUGUUUUUGUGGUAUUCACUCACCUUCUUUUUUUUAUUAAAAAUAGUAUUUUACUCCUACUCUCACAUCGAACGAGAAAGAGAUCUAAAGCAUCUUGAAGAAAGUCAAGCAGGAAUAGAUAUGCCUGCCCCAAGAUAUAAUUCAUUUCUAUGCUUUGCUAUUAUAGGAGUACUCUACAACUUGUUUUUCACAUUGGCUAUUCCUUACUGAUUGGCAUCUCAAAACAAAAUCUUUCGUGGUCUCUCCCAGAAUUGGAUUUGGAUAGAGAAUAGUCGGGAAAGUGGGAGGGGUCUCAGAUGUAGUAAGUGUUCAUUCAGCAUAACAACAGACUGGCUUGACAAAGGGAAGGCCUUGACUUGAAUCACCUGAAGUUUGCAGGGCGGGAACAUAUCUCUUGGAGGGUUAGAUUGGAGCGAAAUGCCUAAUGUGUUCCUUGUCCUUAUGUGCUUUUCUGUCACAUACUUUGUUUCUACGGGCCUAUUAUCAAGUGUCAACCAAACCAAUGUUGAAUGCCUUUCUUGAUGAUAUCUGUAGGGGAAUAGAAUCUGUUGUUUGAUUUUUGAUAAUGGGAAUAGAAUCCAUUCUUUGCCUUGAUUGACAACAAAGGGAAGGAGUAUAGGCACCUCCCUUCAUAGCGGAAGGCCUUUACUUGAAGCAAGCAAAAGGCUGGACUAGAGUGGGAAUAAUAUCAUCUUUUGUUUUUGAAUCAUCUGGCUUUCCUAGCGUUCUUACUUAGAACUUGACUUGCCUCCACUUUCCUUUGACUAGAUUGAAUAGGGGACUUUCUUCUGCUUCCUCUUUCAGGUUAAUAAGCCAGGACACCGACUGAGCUUCCGUCGUUCCGAUCAUAUGAUUCUAGGUAGGCGAGUUCUUAUAUGUCAGAUGCUUUAGAGACCUCGACCCAUGAAUACUCACAAGGAGUUUGAUCACGACUUCUAGUCUCCUCCGGCCUAGGCUAAAACACACCAUGAGCUAGAACCAAGGUGCCAGUUGAGUCCAUAGGUGUGCUAUGCCUAACGGUAACAUCACUAAGCUAUACCCAGAAAUACAAACUAAUAAAUCCCAAAAUUAGUUACCAUUUCCAGAGAGGACAGGUGAUAGGAUUGGAGGCAUAUACCAAAUAGAACAAAAUUUCUUCAGCAUUACAUCAGAAUCACCCUCCUUCACUCUCCAGUGUCAUUCCAACUAUGGAGUACCAACAAUAUCUAUCCGAACAGUGCCUUUCAGUAGUAUUGUAUAGUACCAUAAGGUAGCUUGAGUUUGGCGAGGUGUCAAUGUCGGGUAAGUUCUGACUUGCACAGAAGGUGUAACGAUCUGGGCACUGUCUUGGAGAGAGGCUCGGUGAAAUAGACAUGUCUGUGAAGAUGCGGACUACCUGCACCUGGACAGAAAGACCCUAUGAAGCUUUACUAUUACCUUGGAUUGGCUUUGGGCCUUUCUACACAGCUUAGGUGUAGGGCAAAGAAAGCCUCCUUCCGGGGGGCCCCAAGCCAUCAGUGAGAUACCACUCUAGAAGAUCUAGAAUUCUAACCUUGUGUCAGGAUCUACGGGCCAAGGGACAGUCUCAGGUAGACAGUUUCUAUAGGGCAUAGGGCUCCCAAAGGGUAACGAAGGCAUGCAAAGGUUUCCUUUGGUUUGAUGGAGAUUGGCCCUCGAGUGCAAAUACAGAAGGGAGUUUGACUGCAAGACCUACUCAUCGAGUAGGAACGAAAGUAACCCUUAGUGAUCCGAUAGUGUCAUGUGGAAGGGACGUCGCUCAAUGGAUUAGAGUUACUCUAGGGUUAACAGGAUGAUCUUCCCCAAGAGUUCACAUUGACAGGAAGGUUUGGCACCUCGAUGUCGGCUGUUCACCACCUGGGGCUAUAGUAUGUUCCAAGGGUUGGGCUAUUCGCCCAUUAAAGUAGUAUAAUGCGUGAGCUGGGUUCAGAACGUCGUGAGAUAGUUCGGUCCAUAUCCAGUGCAGGCAUUAGUGCAUUGAGAGGACCUUUCCCUAGUACGAGAGCACGGGGAAGAAUGCACUUUUAGUGUACUAGUUAUUGUGCUAACGGUAAACGAUGGGUAGCCAAGUGAGGAGUGGAUAACUGUUGAAAGCAUCUAAGUAGUAAGCCCACCCCAAGAUGAGUGCUCUCCUAUUCUGACUUCCCAAGAGCCUCUGAUAGCACAGCCGAGGUUGAGACGUGUUCUUUGCCCCUACGGGGAUGGAGCGAAAGAAGUAUUAGGAAUCCAAGAUAAGUUCACGGCGAGACGAGCCUUUUAUCAUUACGAUAGGUAUCAAGUGGAACUGUAGUGAUGUAUGCAGCUGAGGCAUCCUAACAGACCGAGAGAUUUGAAA